RNAcentral lists this transfer RNA (96 nucleotides) under Rhodocyclaceae bacterium. RNAcentral describes it as "tRNA-Sec". It matches the Rfam family "Selenocysteine transfer RNA". The record is from RNAcentral. Lineage: Bacteria; Pseudomonadati; Pseudomonadota; Betaproteobacteria; Rhodocyclales; Rhodocyclaceae.
GGAAGAGAACGUUCCCCGGUGGGAUGCCCGAUCUUCAAAAUCGGGAGGGGCCGCCAUGCAGUCCCAGGUAGGUUCGACACCUGCUCUCUUCCGCCA